AAUUUUUUAAAGCAAAGUAUGUGUUUGAGAGCCAGCUAGGGCCCUGGAAAAUGAAUUUGUUCUGAAUCUAGAUGAAACAUUUUAUCUCUCCAUGUAGCUGUCCGAGUGCUCCAUUUCGGCAAAGGAAACCUACCUUCAACAUGUCUUGGCAGCAAAGAAACUCAACGUCAGAUUAAUUGCUCAAUCACAAACAGGGAGCCACAGCCUCUGAAAGAAGCUCAACAUGAGAUGAUGUUUUCAUGUUCUUGAAAGACCCACUCUACAGCCCCUUUUGGAAGUGGAAUGGCUAAAUAUAUCCUAACAUGAGCAGAGAAGUCCCCCCUUGUCCUUGGACACUGUUGUGGAACUGGAGUCAUCUUGGGUACAGGGAUACUGAAGUCCCUGCAGCCUGUGUUGACCGUGGAGGUUGCCGGGUUGUGGUAUCAGUAGUUCAGAGGCUGUGUUGAACACUGAGAGAGGUCAGAAAUAUGGCCAAUGCCUGACUUCAGUGCUCUCGGAUUGGAAAGACUCAGCCACAUCCAACUAAUCGCCCCUCUGUACCUCCCCAACACAGGCCUUCAUUGUGCGAAGAUUUCAUUUGAGUCUUAAUGGCUGAAAUUGAGAAGUCAUUCAUCAUUCAUUGCAUAUAAGUUCUGAGUGCUGAGGGAGGUGUAAAGAAAGAAGUAAGAUCCAUCUCCACCGGACUGCGAUCUCAUCCAGACUAGCCUGACAUGACCUGCUCUUGGGGAGCUCAUAGGGUCCUAGGGGUUCAUAGCAGUUCUUUCAGAAUCACACUUACAUCAUUUAAAAACAAGUUUUAAAGAAUUUAGGUAAUUCAUGAACAUGGUUUAAAACAUCAAGCAGUGUGGAAGGCUUAUGCUAAAGUGUCAUCACUCUGACCCCUUCUCACUUAUCAGAAGUCCCCAGCCGCAGCCAUUUCUGCUUUUAGUUCUUUUGAAGCAACAUCUUUGUCUCUAAAAAUGUGCUAACUAUGGAGUCUCGAUUCAUAUUGUAGACCCUCUAUAUUGAAGCCUGUCCGUGGUGGAUGAGAAUCAGCUCGUCCACCACUCCACCUCUCUUCUUUUUAAUACAAUUAUAUCACUAUUUUGGUUUUUCUAAUGGUUACUUUUGUAACUCAAAAUAGUGUACUUUCAACUCUCUUUUUCAAUUGGCUAUUGACAUAAUCUCUUGACCAUCUACUUAGAAAGAUAAGGAUAUUGAUAUUCUCAUCUUCCUGCCACUUUUUUUUUAUAUAUAUAACUCCUUUACCUUC
This 1252-nucleotide long non-coding RNA is filed under the name Marmota monax (woodchuck). The record is from RNAcentral. Lineage: Eukaryota; Metazoa; Chordata; Mammalia; Rodentia; Sciuridae.